UGGGGAAUAUUGCACAAUGGGGGAAACCCUAGAUGCAGCGACGCCGCGUGAAGGAAGAAGUAUCUCGGUAUGUAAACUUCUAUCAGCAGGGAAGAUAGUGACGGUACCUGACUAAGAA
This 118-nucleotide ribosomal RNA is filed under the name uncultured bacterium. Its description in RNAcentral is "partial 16S ribosomal RNA". It matches the Rfam family "Bacterial small subunit ribosomal RNA", at positions 355 to 489 of the family's 1533-position model. The record is from RNAcentral.